This 425-nucleotide ribosomal RNA is filed under the name uncultured bacterium. Its description in RNAcentral is "bacterial SSU rRNA". It matches the Rfam family "Bacterial small subunit ribosomal RNA", at positions 100 to 524 of the family's 1533-position model. The record is from RNAcentral.
CACGGGUGCGUAACACGUAACUAACCUGCCCAUCCCUGGGGGAUAGCCCGCCGAAAGGCGGAUUAAUACCGCAUAAGAUAAUAAGGUGGCAUCACCUAGUUAUUAAAGAUUUAUCGGGGAUGGAUGGGGUUGCGGGUCAUUAGCUAGUUGGUAAGGUAAUGGCUUACCAAGGCGACGAUGACUAGGGGAGCUGAGAGGCUGGUCCCCCACACGGGCACUGAGAUACGGGCCCGACUCCUACGGGAGGCAGCAGUAGGGAAUAUUGGGCAAUGGGCGAGAGCCUGACCCAGCCAUGCCGCGUGCAGGAAGAAGGCUUUCUGAGCCGUAAACUGCUUUUGAUAGGGAAGAAUAACCGGUACGUGUACCGGGAUGACGGUACCUACAGAAUAAGCACCGGCUAACUCCGUGCCAGCAGCCGCGGUAAU